GUUAAGAUGGCAGAGUCCGGUAAUUGCAAAAGACCUAAGCCCUUUACACCAGAGGUUCAACUCCUCUUCUUAACU
RNAcentral lists this transfer RNA (75 nucleotides) under Hypselotriton orphicus. RNAcentral's name for it is "tRNA-Leu". It matches the Rfam family "tRNA". From Rfam's summary of the family: Transfer RNA (tRNA) molecules are approximately 80 nucleotides in length. Their secondary structure includes four short double-helical elements and three loops (D, anti-codon, and T loops). Lineage: Eukaryota; Metazoa; Chordata; Amphibia; Caudata; Salamandridae. The record is from RNAcentral.